GACGAACGCUGGCGGCGUGCUUAACACAUGCAAGUCGAACGGAAAGGCCUGUCCUUCCUUGUGUUGGACGGGUACUCGAGUGGCGAACGGGUGAGUAACACGUGAGUGAUCUGCCCCCAACUUGGGUAUAAGCCUGGGAAACUGGGUCUAAUUCCCGAUAGGACUGCAGGGUGGUGCCUGUGGUGGAAAACGAUUUUCUAGUGGUUGGGGAUGAGCUCGCGGCCUAUCAGCUUGUUGGUGGGGUAAUGGCCUACCAAGGCGGCGACGGGUAGCCGGCCUGGGAUGGCGGACGGCCACAUUGGGACGGGGAUACGGCCCAGACUCCUACGGGAGGCAGCAGUGGGGAAGAUAGCACAAUGGGCGGAAGCCUGAUGCAGCGACGCAGCGUGGGGGAUGACGGCCUUCGGGUAGUAAGCUCCUUUCGACCGCGAGGAAGCCGCCUGGUUGGAAGGGUGGUGACGGUAGUGGUAGAAGAAGCACCGGCUAACUACGUG
This 494-nucleotide ribosomal RNA is filed under the name uncultured bacterium. Its description in RNAcentral is "partial 16S ribosomal RNA". It matches the Rfam family "Bacterial small subunit ribosomal RNA", at positions 28 to 507 of the family's 1533-position model. The record is from RNAcentral.